RNAcentral lists this ribosomal RNA (771 nucleotides) under uncultured marine eukaryote. RNAcentral describes it as "SSU rRNA". It matches the Rfam family "Eukaryotic small subunit ribosomal RNA", at positions 427 to 1208 of the family's 1831-position model. The record is from RNAcentral.
AGCAGGCGCGUAAAUUGCCCAAUCUCAACGCGGGGAGGUAGUGACAAGAAAUAACAACAACUAACCUAUUUCAGGUGAGUUGAUUGGAAUGAGUACAAUCUAAACACCUUAACGACUAUCCAUUGGAGGGCAAGCCUGGUGCCAGCAGCCGCGGUAAUUCCAGCUCCAAUAGCGUAUACUAAUGUUGUUGCAGUUAAAAAGCUCGUAGUCGGAUUUCAGUAGGCUCAGUUAAGUCUCUUCUAUUGAGUUCUUUAUGGGCCUGCUUCUUUGACAGAAACUUCUAUGUUAUUCAUUUAGCGUGGGUAGCGACUGUCUCUUUUACUUUGAGAAAAUUAGAGUGUUCAAAGCAGGUAUUCGCCUGAAUAUUACUCUUGGAAUAAUGCUAUAAGACUUUGGUUCUAAUGUAUUGGUGAUUGGGACCAGAGUAAUGAUUGAUAGGGACGGUUGGGGUCUUACGUACUGCAAAGCGAGAGGUGAAAUUCUUGGACCUUUGUAUGACGAACAACUGCGAAAGCAUUGGACUAGGACGUUCCCGUUGAUCAAGAACGAAAGUUGGGGGAUCGAAGACGAUCAGAUACCGUCGUAGUCUCAACCAUAAACUAUGCCAGCUAGGGAUCGGAGGACGUUACAUGUUCGACUCCUUCGGCACCUUAUGAGAAAUCAAAGCAUUUGGGUUCCGGGGGGAGUAUGGUCGCAAGGCUGAAACUUAAAGGAAUUGACGGGAGGGCACCACCAGGAGUGGAGCCUGCGGCUUAAUUUGACUCAACACGG